Molecule: ribosomal RNA, 815 nt
Filed under: uncultured bacterium
Lineage: Bacteria
Description: bacterial SSU rRNA
Rfam family: Bacterial small subunit ribosomal RNA
Source: RNAcentral
UNUGACUUGAGUGCAGAAGGGGAGAGUGGAAUUCCAUGUGUAGCGGUGAAAUGCGUAGAUAUAUGGAGGAACACCAGUGGCGAAAGCGGCUCUCUGGUCUGUCACUGACGCUGAGGCUCGAAAGCGUGGGUAGCGAACAGGAUUAGAUACCCUGGUAGUNCACGCCGUAAACGAUGAGUGCUAGGUGUUAGGCCCUUUCCGGGGCUUAGUGCCGGAGCUAACGCAAUAAGCACUCCGCCUGGGGAGUACGACCGCAAGGUUGAAACUCAAAGGAAUUGACGGGGGCCCGCACAAGCGGUGGAGCAUGUGGUUUAAUUCGAAGCAACGCGAAGAACCUUACCAGGUCUUGACAUCCCGAUGCUAUUCUUAGAGAUAGGAAGUUACUUCGGUACAUCGGAGACAGGUGGUGCAUGGUUGUCGUCAGCUCGUGUCGUGAGAUGUUGGGUUAAGUCCCGCAACGAGCGCAACCCUUAUUGUUAGUUGCCAUCAUUAAGUUGGGCACUCUAGCGAGACUGCCGGUAAUAAACCGGAGGAAGGUGGGGAUGACGUCAAAUCAUCAUGCCCCUUAUGACCUGGGCUACACACGUGCUACAAUGGUCGGUACAACGAGUUGCGAGCCGGUGACGGCAAGCUAAUCUCUGAAAGCCGAUCUCAGUUCGGAUUGGAGGCUGCAACUCGCCUCCAUGAAGUCGGAAUCGCUAGUAAUCGCGGAUCAGCACGCCGCGGUGAAUACGUUCCCGGGCCUUGUACACACCGCCCGUCACACCACGAGAGUUUGUAACACCCGAAGUCGGUGAGGUAACCUUUUAGGGGCC